AUUGAACGCUGGCGGCAUGCCUUACACAUGCAAGUCGAACGGCAGCACGGGAGCUUGCCCCUGGUGGCGAGUGGCGAACGGGUGAGUAAUACAUCGGAACGUACCCGGUAGUGGGGGAUAACGCAACGACAGGUGCGCUAAUACAGCAUACGCCCUACGGGUGACAGCGGGGGACCGUAAGGCCUCGCGCUAUAUGAGCGUCCGAUGUCUGAUUAGCUAGUUGGUGAGGUAAAGGCUCACCAAGGCUUCGAUCAGUAGCUGGUCUGAGAGGACGAUCAGCCACACUGGGACUGAGACACGGCCCAGACUCCUACGGGAGGCAGCAGUGGGGAAUUUUGGACAAUGGGCGAAAGCCUGAUCCAGCAAUGCCGCGUGUGCGAAGAAGGCCUUCGGGUUGUAAAGCACUUUUGUCAGGGAAGAAAUCUUUUAGGCUAAUACCCUGGAAGGAUGACGGUACCUGAAGAAUAAGCACCGGCUAACUACGUGCCAGCCGCCGCCGUAA
This 502-nucleotide ribosomal RNA is filed under the name uncultured bacterium. Its description in RNAcentral is "partial 16S ribosomal RNA". It matches the Rfam family "Bacterial small subunit ribosomal RNA", at positions 30 to 523 of the family's 1533-position model. The record is from RNAcentral.